Molecule: ribosomal RNA, 253 nt
Filed under: uncultured bacterium
Lineage: Bacteria
Description: partial 16S ribosomal RNA
Rfam family: Bacterial small subunit ribosomal RNA
Source: RNAcentral
UACGAAGGUGGCAAGCGUUGUUCGGAUUUACUGGGCGUACAGGGAGCGUAGGCGGUUGGGUAAGCCCUCCGUGAAAUCUCCAGGCUUAACCUGGAAAGUGCAGAGGGGACUGUUCAGCUAGAGGAUGGGAGAGGAGCGCGGAAUUCCCGGUGUAGCGGUGAAAUGCGUAGAGAUCGGGAGGAAGGCCGGUGGCGAAGGCGGCGCUCUGGAACAUUUCUGACGCUGAGACUCGAAAGCGUGGGGAGCAAACAGG